CGAACGGGUGAGUAACGCGUGAGCAACCUGCCUAUGACAGUGGGAUAGCCUCGGGAAACCGGGAUUAAUACCGCAUAAAAUCGUAGAAACACAUGUUUUAACGGUCAAAGAUUUAUCGGUCAUAGAUGGGCUCGCGUCUGAUUAGCUAGUUGGUGAGAUAACAGCCCACCAAGGCGACGAUCAGUAGCCGGUCUGAGAGGAUGGACGGCCACAUUGGAACUGAGACACGGUCCAA
RNAcentral lists this ribosomal RNA (235 nucleotides) under uncultured Eubacteriales bacterium. RNAcentral describes it as "uncultured Clostridiales bacterium partial 16S ribosomal RNA". It matches the Rfam family "Bacterial small subunit ribosomal RNA", at positions 99 to 334 of the family's 1533-position model. The record is from RNAcentral. Lineage: Bacteria; Bacillati; Bacillota; Clostridia; Eubacteriales.